Poecilia latipinna (sailfin molly) is the source of this 2541-nucleotide long non-coding RNA. RefSeq lists it as uncharacterized. Lineage: Eukaryota; Metazoa; Chordata; Actinopteri; Cyprinodontiformes; Poeciliidae. The record is from RefSeq and is a predicted model, not a curated record. The transcript has 2 exons.
UGUGUGUGUGUGUGUGUGUGUGUGUGCAAACAGAAGCCCACGUUGGACAAUCGGGUAGGAGCAAACAGGAUGUGAUGAUCAAUCAGCCUGUGACUGAUUGAUCCAACAGCUCGGUGAGCUGUUGGAGGAGAGCCACGUUCUCUCUUCUCCACACACCCACGGCUGGGUUAUUACCUCCCAUCUUCCUCUGCGGGCUGGGAUGAGGUGCAACAUUUCACUACAUCUCACAAACAGAUCGAAACAAGAUGAGGCAGACCCACCACCACCACCACCACCACCACAACAAAAAAGGGCCAGAUAGACAUUACAACCGGCCUCCCAAACAGUGGCAGCUGAAGGUCUGCGUGGCGUGGCUUCUGUCCGUGGUGCUGAACGCUUUCCCUGCGUGUUUCAGAGCAGAGCAGGCAGACAGUGGGCCUGUCACCGGAUUAAAAGGGAACAACAGUGGAGGAAAACAGAGCUGCUUUCACCGAAACAGCUUAACAUCGCGGGGGUUGGCGACCGGGUUCACACCGUAAGUUUCUCAUACAUUUACCGACCCACGUCACGCAGACGAAGCUCGAGCCCUCACCACGUACACAAUAACGGUCGUUUUGACUGAAACCGAAGACUUUGUAGCUCCAUAAUGAGGGGAAGUGCGGUUAAAUCAGUUUGACCGUGUGCAGACCCGAUGCCCUUACUGACCGCAUUAAGCGCAUCAGCGGAUUGAGGGACGGGGGGGUCUGUUUGGAUUUAUUUUUAUAGAUAAGUGACAAAAUACAGUCUCGUUCCUGAGCAAAGAGGAAAAGGAAACAUAGCGCUGCUCGUCUUACCUCUGUCGCCAUGUUGCCAUCCGUGAACGUGGGGAAGAAUCCCUUCAGGAGCUGAAAUCGCUUUAGUGGGACGCGGAGGAUCGAUGGGCGGGGCUUAGCGUGGGGGCGGGGCUAACUGUAAUGGGGCGGAGUCCGCGUUGAAACAGUUGAAAAGGGUGUGGCUGGUUAUAGAACAGCUUCUCACAGGAUUUCUGCUAUUUUUAUCAUUUCAAAAUAGGAAUUUCCAAAUUUUAUGGUCAAUUUUGGGGCUCUUUUUUUUUAAAAAGGUUCAUAGCUAUGUAUACAAUUUUCUAGUGAUGCUUUGAUUUUGAUGUUCCUGGUCAAUUCAGAUUCUGAAUCAUGUUCACUGGUAGGGGUGAAAUGUGGAAGACAGUUUUAAAAUAUGCAUAUUUUAGAUGCAUCUUUUCCAGAACACUCAACUCAAACAAUUACAUCCUCUGCAUGCCAUCAAGUAUUGCAAAAGCCUUGAAAUCAUCAACUUGCGUAUGGCGCAAGGGAAACACCUAGGGCAGUGAUCCAUAGGGACUGGAAUUGGGAAACACUGCUCUCACAAGAACAUUUUAAUCUGAACCAUCCUGAUGGAUGCAGAUAAGAAGAUCCCACCGGUUUUCUAAGCAGCACAGGGAGGAGAUUGCACCAUGCCCCGAGAGCUUUUUGUCUUAUGAAUUUACAAAUUAAUGAAAGGUGAGGUUGUUUUUGGUGCAUCGAACUGGUCCUGGCUAUGAGGAAAUGCCGUCAUAAACAUCCCACUAGACCAGACUAAGGUCCCUGGUCUAUGUGGUGAUGACUGGAUCUUCACAGGUCACACAUGAGGGUCAAAACAUUGGACAGACAGGUAAACAGGGUUGCUGCAGGUUUCACCAACUCAAAUUUAAAGCUUUUUUUAAGAUCAUUAUGAAUUAAAUUUAAGACCAUUGUCAUUAUGGAAAAGUACAGAAGAAAAUUUAAUAUUUUUAUCCAAGCCUUGUUGCACAGAUACAGUAUAGUAAUAUUGUAGGGGUUGGCAACGGAAGUGAGCCAGAGGCGAAGGCCAACAUUUCCUAGCCAGCUGGCAAUAAACUUACCCUCAUGAUAGACGCAAAGGAGCUAGCUAGCUACUUAGCGGUAGCCACAACCGCUCAAGUCACAGAACAGAAUGUCUGAGAGAAUUUAACAUAUCUUAAGGCCUUAUUUUUUAGAUACGUGAAGUUAAGACUUUAAGGAUGCAGACACCCUGAUAAAGAGAGCUUUUCUUUUAGGCUACGGUCUUCUUUCACCAUGACAGAUGUUGCAACAGAUGACCCCAUCCGUCCACAACAGAAACUGAACCUAGACGUAAUUUAACAUCAAACUAGUCAUUUCAACAAUUAAAGACAUGGGACCUACUUUAUGACAUAACAAAAGUGUUUAUAGAAGCAGGAAUAUUUAAUGAACCAUAAGCAUUUACACCACUGCUUAGUACUGACAUUAUAGCUCAGUUAAAAGACAAACUGCCUUUAAAGAUGGAACCCAAACUUUCCAGUUAUGUAAAAAUACAACCUGCCUAGAACUAAAAAGAGAAAAUGAUUAUAUGUGCAUACUGCUUUUAAGGGAAAAAAAGAACUCAGAAUGAUAAAAACCAAAAUAAAAUUUAAUUCUUGUGCUAAAAACUGGGAGGAAUGUUAUAAGAAAUUCAACAUCCAGUAUUAAGCUGCGGUCACAACUGUUUUUGAAUCAAUGUUAACAUUUUAAUGAUGAAGAAGAAGAAAAA